Molecule: transfer RNA, 72 nt
Filed under: Bos taurus (domestic cattle)
Lineage: Eukaryota; Metazoa; Chordata; Mammalia; Artiodactyla; Bovidae
Also listed under: 3 other names
Rfam family: tRNA
About the family: Transfer RNA (tRNA) molecules are approximately 80 nucleotides in length. Their secondary structure includes four short double-helical elements and three loops (D, anti-codon, and T loops).
Source: Rfam by way of RNAcentral
UUCCCUGUAUCUCAGACGGUAAAGAAUCUGCCUGCAAUGCAGGAGACCCGGGUUCGAUUCCUGGGUCGGAAA